UCCGUUAUGGUGUAGUGGCUAACAUUAUCGCCUCUCAUCCACAAUUUCCCAUUUGACUGCGCGAUAGCCCAGGGUUCGAUUCCCUGUAACGGAA
Non-coding RNA from Marasmius sp. AFHP31, 94 nucleotides. The record is from the annotation of a GenBank genome assembly. Lineage: Eukaryota; Fungi; Basidiomycota; Agaricomycetes; Agaricales; Marasmiaceae.